CCCUUAGACGUUCUGGGCCGCACGCGCGCUACACUGACGAAUGCAACGAGCUUAUAACCUUGGCCGAAAGGUCUGGGUAAUCUCCAAAUUUCGUCGUGAUGGGGAUAGAUUAUUGCAAUUAUUAAUCUUCAACGAGGAAUGCCUAGUAAGCGCAAGUCAUCAGCUUGCGUUGAUUACGUCCCUGCCCUUUGUACACACCGCCCGUCGCUCCUACCGAUUGAAUGGUCCGGUGAAGCGCUCGGACCGCGGCCUCUUGACGGUUUUCCGUCGAUUGGCUGUGGGAAGUUCGUUAAACCUUAUCAUUUAGAGGAAGGAGAAGUCGUAACA
This 327-nucleotide ribosomal RNA is filed under the name uncultured eukaryote. RNAcentral's name for it is "partial 18S ribosomal RNA". It matches the Rfam family "Eukaryotic small subunit ribosomal RNA", at positions 1470 to 1796 of the family's 1831-position model. The record is from RNAcentral.